This 584-nucleotide ribosomal RNA is filed under the name Diabroctis mimas. Its description in RNAcentral is "eukaryotic LSU rRNA". It matches the Rfam family "Eukaryotic large subunit ribosomal RNA", at positions 697 to 1237 of the family's 3401-position model. Lineage: Eukaryota; Metazoa; Arthropoda; Insecta; Coleoptera; Scarabaeidae. The record is from RNAcentral.
GACUCAUUUAAACCUAAAGGCGCAAUGAAAGUAAAGGUCCGCCUCGCGCGGACCUAGGGAGGAUGCGCCCGGCACUGACCGGGCGCCGCACUCCCGGGGCGUCUCGUUCUCAUAGCGAGAAGAGGCGCACCCAGAGCGUACACGCUGGGACCCGAAAGAUGGUGAACUAUGCCUGGUCAGGACGAAGUCAGGGGAAACCCUGAUGGAGGUCCGUAGCGAUUCUGACGUGCAAAUCGAUCGUCGGAACUGGGUAUAGGGGCGAAAGACUAAUCGAACCUUCUAGUAGCUGGUUCCCUCCGAAGUUUCCCUCAGGAUAGCUGGCGCUCGCCUUGCGAGUCUCAUUCGGUAAAGCGAAUGAUUAGAGGCAUUGGGGUCGAAACGGCCUCAACCUAUUCUCAAACUUUAAAUGGGUGAGAUCUCCGGCUUGCUUGAACGGUGAAGCCGCGAGAGAUCAUCGGAUCACAGAGUGCCAAGUGGGCCACUUUUGGUAAGCAGAACUGGCGCUGUGGGAUGAACCAAACGCCGAGUUAAAGCGCCUAAAUCGACGCUUAUGGGAUACCAUGAAAGGCGUUGGUAACUUAAGA